CAGAAAAGAAAGGAAAGAGUUUGGUGAACACACACAGUCUCUACUGAAGGGGUAGACAAGGAAGUAUAAUCUGGUGUGAUGAGCUGGGCUGUGAGCUGUACUCUCUUUGACCUGUGAGAUUUUUGGAGGUUCCUUGAAUUUUGUUCAGACAUGAACCUGGCAAACUCCAUGUUCUAAUUCAAAGCUUCCUGGCUGAACUCAGUGGAACUCCAGCUAAGGAAUUAAAUUGGAGGACAGCUAACAGAGGAGCGUAUGACACCACACUGAAAAACCAGAAGAGCUUGAUUAAGCCGAGGAGAGAAACAGCAGAUGGUCUUCAUGGAGGGAAGCCGCCAAUGACCACCGUCUCCUCAGUCUGUGACGGAUCUGCACUCUGAGGAAUAUGAGAUCCAUGAAAGCCGUCUGCAUCCAUCUUAUCAUCAUUAGCCCCUAGCAUAAGAGCUUAACAGACAUUAAUAAAUGUUUGUUGAAUGAAUAAAAGAAAUUGAAGCAUCUCCUUGAUGCCCCAGAUAAAUCUGUAUGGCUGCUAUACCUCAUCAGUGUGUAAUGAUCUCAAGGGCCUUGGUCA
This is a long non-coding RNA of Mesoplodon densirostris (Blainville's beaked whale), 568 nucleotides long. RefSeq lists it as uncharacterized. The record is from RefSeq and is a predicted model, not a curated record. The transcript has 4 exons. Lineage: Eukaryota; Metazoa; Chordata; Mammalia; Artiodactyla; Ziphiidae.